This 988-nucleotide long non-coding RNA is filed under the name Elaeis guineensis (African oil palm). RNAcentral's name for it is "long non-coding RNA (EGUI_LNC029448)". Lineage: Eukaryota; Viridiplantae; Streptophyta; Magnoliopsida; Arecales; Arecaceae. The record is from RNAcentral.
GGUGUCCUCCCUGCCCUUUCUGACCACCACAUAAGAGAUCAAAGACGUACAUUUCCUUAUUUGGCUGCAUGGAAUGCUUGGUGUGAAUCACACUGGUGAAGCUGGGAUACACCUCGUCCUAGCUAUGACCAUAAGAGAGGCUCUUCUUUUGGAAAAAGACUAGUUUUGUUCUGCAAAGCAUACUGGUGUAGCCUGUGAUCUUAUUUAAUGCGUCUAGAAAUAUCUUCCGGUUAGUGACAAUUACAGACCUGCAGCUCAUUGGGCGUCUCAAAAGUUACCACCGGACUCCGCCUCGGGCGGCGGAGGACAGGACCCACCAACCACCCCACCUGACGUUGAGCCCAGGCGACGUCAGGUGGGGCCGUACCGAGUGACGUGGCAGCAUAUCCAUGUGGCUGAGGUUGAUAACAACAGCUGCUGGCCGUCUCCAUUAGGUGACGCUGAAAGUAUGCUCAAACCGACAAAGAUUUCGCCAUACCCUCCUCUUGUUCCAAGUUGGCGAUUAACGUGGUGCCCGAGGCCAUCAUGCUACAACAACAUCACUCUUGGAGGAACAACAACUUAUCAGAGGAGGAUGAUAUGACGACAAACACUUGUGGACAACAAUUUCAGGCAUUUGGAUCAACCAAUCUUGGUUUUUUCUACGAGACUUGAAUGGCAUCACCAGGAUCCUUGGAUAAUUGCAACCUUAGCUUUCUCCUAUAUAGUUUAUCUGAAAUUUAUCUUUUUAUCUUUGCUAGCCCUUUUUUUUUUUUUCAGAUAAUGAUAUUUUGUUUAUCUGCAGCCCUUCAAAGAUAGAAGAUCAACCCAUGAUCCUCAAAAACACCUUUAGUACACAGCUGCAGUGGUUAUGGAGAGGUUGCAGAUGAUGCUGAUGUACUACAACAUCUACAAACUAGAAUUGUCCUUGUCCCGGCAUGCUAAACUUCUCACGAGAUAAUACCAUUGUUGUAGUUGAAAAUAAGACUUGCAUUGCAAUGUUCACGGC